ACCUGGUUGGCUCAGUCAGUAGAGCAUGUGACCCUUAAUCUCACGGUUGUGAGUUCAAGCCCCACACUGGAGA
Molecule: transfer RNA, 73 nt
Filed under: Ailuropoda melanoleuca (giant panda)
Lineage: Eukaryota; Metazoa; Chordata; Mammalia; Carnivora; Ursidae
Rfam family: tRNA
About the family: Transfer RNA (tRNA) molecules are approximately 80 nucleotides in length. Their secondary structure includes four short double-helical elements and three loops (D, anti-codon, and T loops). Further hydrogen bonds mediate the characteristic L-shaped molecular structure. tRNAs have two regions of fundamental functional importance: the anti-codon, which is responsible for specific mRNA codon recognition, and the 3' end, to which the tRNAs corresponding amino acid is attached (by aminoacyl-tRNA synthetases). tRNAs cope with the degeneracy of the genetic code in two manners: having more than one tRNA (with a specific anti-codon) for a particular amino acid; and 'wobble' base-pairing, i.e. permitting non-standard base-pairing at the 3rd anti-codon position.
Source: Rfam by way of RNAcentral